Peromyscus maniculatus bairdii (prairie deer mouse) is the source of this 1490-nucleotide long non-coding RNA. RefSeq lists it as uncharacterized. NCBI's taxonomy places the organism in Eukaryota, Metazoa, Chordata, Mammalia, Rodentia, Cricetidae. The record is from RefSeq and is a predicted model, not a curated record.
CGGCAAGCACGUACUUUCUCUUCUGCUCCUCUUCAUCGUCCGUUAGGAUGGCGACUUUAUCAUCUGCAGCCAUGGCUUACCACUCCCAUCAGGGGCUGAGACCUUCGGAAUCCUGACUGGUGACCUGGAGGUUGAAAAACAUGAUUAAGGAGUCAAAAGGUUGGGCCGACAUCAACUUUGUCCCCUCCAGUUGCAGUGAACAUAGUGUGAUGCUAGAAGAGACCAGGCUGGAACUCUGGAUUAAAGGCACACACCAUCAUAUGCAGUGCUAUCACAUGCAGCUAGAAUCAGGAUGUACUGGGACCUCUGUGAGCCAAAUGAGAUGCACUGGCUGCUUUAAUAACCUCAUAUUGGACUCCAGGAAUAUCACCAACUAUAUGACUUCUUUUGACCAAACCAAUCACUAGAACUUUGUUGUUUUCUCGAGGAAACCUAAGUGACCACCGCUAAGCACCAAGCUCUGGUUUUCUUGCUGUUCUUGAUCAGCUGGACCCUGACACACUCACUUCCUGAUAGCAGAAUUUAACUUUUUCCUGCUUUUUCCAUCACAGUUCCCUUCGCAGGAGAAACACCUCCAAAAUAGUUGGCCUUCAAGGGCUGUGCCCAUGAGCUUUCUGGUAUUACCAAGACAUGCCUGGUCCCACCAGUGACUAUGGCACUUCCCGGCAUUAUGAAGACCAUACACUUGCCAAUCCUGCCGGCUUCACAAGCCUGGGCAAAAGAGCUCCUUUGUGGUGCUGGGAAUAGAAUCUGGGGCCUUGUGCAUGCUUGGCAAGCACUCUUCCACUGGGCUACAUUCCCAGCCCUAAACCUUAUUCAUCUUAGCAGCAAAAGAAAAAGCUUUGUUUUUUCCCAGACAAAGACCUCUUACUGCCUGGUUAUGAUAGAUUUUCUUUGAUGCACUGUUUUUAUUAUUCUUUGGUUAUUAAAAUCUUCUCCUGUUCAACUCAGCAGCUUCAAUUACACUUUUGCACUUGAAAAGACAAGUAACGCUUUUUUCCUGAAUUGUUUUGCUUUCUCGGCUCCAAUUGGAAAGGAAUAUGUGUUGUGCUUAAAAUGGAUAAAGUUACAUGACCCUGGUGGUGGAACAGGCCAGAUUAAACAUAGGUAGUUGGUUCCUUCCCUAACCCUCCUUCAAACGACAGCAAACACACACGGAGAAAUAUGCACAGGUAGACUCAGCUGUCACAAUCUAAGGAAGAGUUGAAAGGCACGUGAUGGUAAUGAUAAAGUGAACUGACACAUGUAAUAUUUCAAAAAAAUUCAUCUCACAUCAUCCCCUUCUUGGGCUGUGGUCUGCCACCCCAAGGAGAUUAAUCAAGAGAGAGCAGGUCAUGGGAUACAGGAAAGAAUUGAUCUCAUAUGCGAGGCAAGCAAAGAGAACACAGGGAUGAAGGUGAUAAGACGCCCCUGGACCGCUGGUCAGUCAGGAUGGAUGGGAGGUUCCGUGGGCAACCUUGUCAGCCAAAAGGAUAGUCGUCAAACACCAA